This is a long non-coding RNA of Gadus morhua (Atlantic cod), 2175 nucleotides long. The record is from Ensembl. Lineage: Eukaryota; Metazoa; Chordata; Actinopteri; Gadiformes; Gadidae.
AUGGCGCCGCGGAUGGCAGCCUCGGUACUUCGCUCUCUAGUACUUUGUUUGUUUUUGUCCGUUUAUUAUGUUUUCGGUGGUAUUUCACCAGCAACCUUUUCCAGAGAGGAGCUCUUAAUCAUCCGGCAUACCUCUACAGGAUUUUUUUCUCCAGUUUUCACUAACUCAGCAAGUUUUAUUGAAAUCCUGGUCGGAGGAGCAACGGUUCUCCUUGGAAUCUGCCGGAGACGCACACGGGGGAAACAAGCAGGAGCGCUUGUGAAAUUAAGGAAGCGGGGACUACGCACCUCGCUUCCAGCCAUUCACCUGGCAAACGUCCGGUCCCUGGUAUAUAAGAUGGAUGAGCUGUUGCUUCUCAAUCAAACCAACUCAGACUUUUACAGAUCCGCUGCCCUGUGUUUCACCGAAACCUGGCUCUCUGAACGCAUCCCGGAAAGCGCACUUCAGCUGCCCGGUUUCCAACUCAUCCGGGCGGACCGCAACACAGAGCUUUCGGGGAAAAUGAAAGGCGGAGGAAUCUGCUUCUACUUAAACGUUGGUUGGUGUACAGAUGUUACAGUGCUGGAAAAGACGUGUAGCCCUCACUUAGAGUCUCUCUUCAUAAACUGUAAACCCUUCUAUUCUCCGCGGGAGUUCUCCUCAUUUGUUAUGGUUGGUGUUUACAUACCACCACAAGCGUGCGUCGCAGACGCGCUGCAACAGCUGGCCGACCAGAUAACGGACAUAGAGAAAAAACACCCGGACUCUCUCGUUAUUAUUGUUGGGGAUUUUAACAACGCCAAACUCAACCAGGAACUCCCUAAAUACAGACAGCAUAUCAAGAUUCCCACCAGAGACAAAAACACACUGGACCACUGUUACACAGUCUUGAAGGACGCCUAUCGUGCUGUUUCCCGGGCAGCUCUAGGACUCUCCGACCACUGUCUGCUUCAUCUCAUCCCAACCUACAGGCAGAAACUAAAAACUUCUAAACCUGUGGCAAAGACUUUAAAAAAAUGGACAAGGGAAUCAAAGCUGGAGUUGCAGGCUUGCUUUGACUGCACCAACUGGAGCGUUUUUGAAGCUGCAGCUACAGACCUAAACGACCUCACGGACACUGUAACAUCUUACAUCCGUUUUUGCGAGGACCUCUGUGUGCAGACCAAGACCUUCUGCACAUACAACAACAGCAAAGCUUGGUUCACUCUUAAUCUUAGGAAGCUGCGUCAAGCUAAAGAGGAGGCCCAUAGUAGUGGGGACCAGGACCUAUAUAAGCAGGCCCGGAACAAGUUGACAAAGGAGAUCAAGGUAGCCAAAAUAAGCUACAGUGAGAAACUAAGAUAUAGCCUCUCCGCGAAUGACCCUGCAUCAGUUUGGAAAGGCCUGCAACAAAUUACAAACUACAAGAGACCAUCCCCCCACCCUGCAGGAAAUCCCAGACUGGCAGACGACCUGAAUGACUUUUACUGCAGGUUUGAAGAGCACCCAUUGUCACACCCCUCACGCACAAAAGGUUUUCCCUCAUCACCCAUCCCCCUCCCCCCACCUGCACUAACUAUCUGCGAGAAGGAAGUGUGCCGGCUCUUUCAGAAGCAGAAGAUCAAGAAGGCUCCAGGACCUGAUGGUGUGUCCCCCUCUUGUCUGCAAGUCUGUGCUGAACAGCUGGCGCCAAUCUUCACGCGGAUCUUUAACUGGUCCCUGGAGCUGUGUGAAGUGCCCUCCUGCUUUAAAUGCUCCACCAUCAUCCCAGUCCCCAAAAAAACCUCCAUCACAGGACUAAAUGACUACAGGCCUGUCGCCCUGACGUCUGUGGUCAUGAAAUCCUUUGAGAGACUGGUGUUGAGCCACCUGAAGGACAUUAUAGGUCCCCUGCUGGACCCCCUGCAGUUUGCCUACAGGGCAAACAGGUCGGUGGAUGAUGCUGUCAACAUGGGACUGCAAUACAUACUGCACCACCUCGACUACCCAGGGACGUAUGCCAGGAUCCUGUUUGUGGACUUCAGCUCGGCGUUCAACACCAUCGUCCCUGAAAUCCUUCAUCAGAAGCUCACCCAGUUCAAAGUGCCUGUCACCACCUGUCAGUGGAUCAUCAGCUUCCUGAUUGACAGGCAGCAGCAUGUCAGACUGGUCCAUCAGCACUGGCGCCCCACAGGGGUGUGUCCUCUCCCCGCUGCUCUUCUCCAUCUACACCAAUGA